RNAcentral lists this ribosomal RNA (292 nucleotides) under uncultured bacterium. Its description in RNAcentral is "partial 16S ribosomal RNA". It matches the Rfam family "Bacterial small subunit ribosomal RNA", at positions 505 to 796 of the family's 1533-position model. The record is from RNAcentral.
GUGCCAGCAGCCGCGGUAAGACGAACCGUGCGAACGUUGUUCGGAUUCACUGGGCUUAAAGGGCGCGUAGGCGGACUCGCAAGUCUGUGGUGAAAGCCCCCAGCUCAACUGGGGAAGUGCCGUGGAUACUGCAAGUCUGGAGGAGGGUAGGGGCAUCUGGAACGCUGGGUGGAGCGGUGAAAUGCGUUGAUAUCCAGCGGAACUCCGGUGGCGAAGGCGAGGUGCUGGACCCUUUCUGACGCUGAGGCGCGAAAGCCAGGGGAGCAAACGGGAUUAGAAACCCGCGUAGUCC